This 438-nucleotide ribosomal RNA is filed under the name uncultured bacterium. Its description in RNAcentral is "bacterial SSU rRNA". It matches the Rfam family "Bacterial small subunit ribosomal RNA", at positions 954 to 1392 of the family's 1533-position model. The record is from RNAcentral.
GCACAACGCGAAGAACCUUACCUAGGCUUGACAUGCAUCUCUAAGCACGUGAAAGCGUGUGACCCUUCGGGGAAUUUGCACAGGUGCUGCAUGGCCGUCGUCAGCUCGUGUCGUGAGAUGUUGGGUUAAGUCCCGUAACGAGCGCAACCCUUGUGACUAGUUGCCAGCACGUUAUGGUGGGAACUCUAGUCAGACUGCCCAGAUCAACUGGGAGGAAGGUGGGGACGACGUCAGGUCAGUAUGGCCCUUACGCCUAGGGCUGCACACGUACUACAAUGCCCAGCACAAUGAGAACCGAGACCGCGAGGUAGAGGAAAUCUAAAAAACUGGGCCCAGUUCGGAUUGGAGGCUGCAACUCGCCUCCAUGAAGUUGGAAUCGCUAGUAAUGGCGCAUCAUCUACGGCGCCGUGAAUACGUUCCCGGGUCUUGUACACACCG